This 75-nucleotide transfer RNA is filed under the name Raineya orbicola. RNAcentral describes it as "tRNA-Glu". It matches the Rfam family "tRNA". Rfam says of the family: Transfer RNA (tRNA) molecules are approximately 80 nucleotides in length. Lineage: Bacteria; Pseudomonadati; Bacteroidota; Cytophagia; Cytophagales; Raineyaceae. The record is from RNAcentral.
GCUCCGUUCGUCUAGGGGUUAGGACGCAUCCCUUUCACGGAUGAAACACGGGUUCGAUUCCCGUACGGAGUACGA